Molecule: transfer RNA, 74 nt
Filed under: Microbacterium phage Hendrix
Lineage: Duplodnaviria; Heunggongvirae; Uroviricota; Caudoviricetes
Description: tRNA-Trp
Rfam family: tRNA
About the family: Transfer RNA (tRNA) molecules are approximately 80 nucleotides in length.
Source: RNAcentral
GGGUUGCUAGCUCAAUUGGCAGAGCGCCGGUCUCCAAAACCGGAGGUUCGAGGUUCGAUCCCUCGGCGGCCCGC